GUUGUCAAAUUCAUUUCAAUCCAUGUGUGUUAGUGUGGGUUGAGGUGGAAUUUAGUUUAAAUUCCACUAUAAUCCACCUCAACACAUGUGGAUUGAUGUAAAUCCAACU
MicroRNA precursor from Sorghum bicolor (sorghum), 109 nucleotides. It matches the Rfam family "MIR5565 microRNA precursor family". Lineage: Eukaryota; Viridiplantae; Streptophyta; Magnoliopsida; Poales; Poaceae. The record is from Rfam.